Odocoileus virginianus texanus is the source of this 315-nucleotide non-coding RNA. The record is from RefSeq and is a predicted model, not a curated record. NCBI's taxonomy places the organism in Eukaryota, Metazoa, Chordata, Mammalia, Artiodactyla, Cervidae.
CCCAUCUUCAGAAGAUGAAACUGACCUUACUCACAGCUUUUAUUCCCCAUUCUCUAGGGGGCACUUCUAAGCUGACACAAAAAAGCUUCCUGUGCUGGGGAUGAAGAUGGAGUGAGCUGCAGCUGGAAGGGAGGAGAUGGUGAGGAAGGAGUAGAUGCUUAUGGAGCAGAGAAGCAAAGAAGCCACGAAUUCAAGGUGCGGCACCAGAAAUCACAGCAGAGAAGGAGCGGGUCUGCAGAGCGGGAGGCCCUGAGCCCGCAUGGACCUGCCUCCUAGAGACGUGAAUCAGUGGAGUCAGCGCAGUGUUAAGGGGAG